Molecule: ribosomal RNA, 1374 nt
Filed under: Rhizopus arrhizus
Lineage: Eukaryota; Fungi; Mucoromycota; Mucoromycetes; Mucorales; Rhizopodaceae
Description: SSU rRNA
Rfam family: Eukaryotic small subunit ribosomal RNA
Source: RNAcentral
GAAGGGCAUGGUCUAGUAUAAAAUAACUUUAUAUUGUGAAACUGCGAAUGGCUCAUUAAAUCAGUUAUGAUCUACGUGACAAAUUCUUUACUACUUGGAUAACCGUGGUAAUUCUAGAGCUAAUACAUGCAAAAAAGCCCUGACUUACGAAGGGGUGCACUUAUUAGAUAAAACCAACGCGGGGUAAAACCUGUUUCUUGGUGAAUCAUAAUAAUUAAGCGGAUCGCAUGGCCUUGUGCCGGCGACGGUCCACUCGAUUUUCUGCCCUAUCAUGGUUGAGAUUGUAAGAUAGAGGCUUACAAUGCCUACAACGGGUAACGGGGAAUUAGGGUUCGAUUCCGGAGAGGGAGCCUGAGAAACGGCUACCACAUCCAAGGAAGGCAGCAGGCGCGCAAAUUACCCAAUCCCGACACGGGGAGGUAGUGACAAUACAUAACAAUGCAGGGCCUUUAAGGUCUUGCAAUUGGAAUGAGUACAAUUUAAAUCCCUUAACGAGGAUCAAUUGGAGGGCAAGUCUGGUGCCAGCAGCCGCGGUAAUUCCAGCUCCAAUAGCGUAUAUUAAAGUUGUUGCAGUUAAAACGUCCGUAGUCAAACUUUAGUCUUACCGGCGUAGUGGCCUGGUCUUCAUUGACCAAGCUCAUUGCUGCCGGAGACUCCAUGUCCAUUGACUCCUAGUCCUCGUGGCUAGGGUUUUCUGGACAAUUACCAUGAGCAAAUCAGAGUGUUUAAAGCAGGCUUUUAAGCUUGAAUGUGUUAGCAUGGAAUAAUGAAAUAUGACUUUAGUCCUAUUUUCGUUGGUUUAGGUACUUCAGUAAUGAUGAAUAGAAACGGUUAGGGGCAUUUGUAUUUGGUCGCUAGAGGUGAAAUUCUUGGAUUGACCGAAGACAAACUACUGCGAAAGCAUUUGACCCGGGACGUUUUCAUUGAUCAAGGUCUAAAGUUAAGGGAUCGAAGACGAUUAGAUACCGUCGUAGUCUUAACCACAAACUAUGCCGACUAGAGAUUGGGCGUGUUUAUUAUGACUCGCUCAGCAUCUUAGCGAAAGUAAAGUUUUUGGGUUCUGGGGGGAGUAUGGGACGCAAGGCUGAAACUUAAAGGAAUUGACGGAAGGGCACCACCAGGAGUGGAGCCUGCGGCUUAAUUUGACUCAACACGGGGAAACUCACCAGGUCCAGACAUAGUAAGGAUUGACAGAUUGAAAGCUCUUUCUAGAUUCUAUGGGUGGUGGUGCAUGGCCGUUCUUAGUUCGUGGAGUGAUUUGUCUGGUUAAUUCCGAUAACGAACGAGACCUUAUUCUGCUAAUUAGACAGGCUAACUCUUUCGGGUUGGUUUAUAUUUAAUAUUUAACUGGCUUCAUAGAGAGACUAUCGGUAG